RNAcentral lists this ribosomal RNA (497 nucleotides) under uncultured bacterium. Its description in RNAcentral is "partial 16S ribosomal RNA". It matches the Rfam family "Bacterial small subunit ribosomal RNA", at positions 28 to 523 of the family's 1533-position model. The record is from RNAcentral.
GAUGAACGCUGGCGGCGUGCUUAACACAUGCAAGUCGAACGAAGCACUUUAAUCGAUUUCUUCGGAUUGAAAUUUUAGUGACCGAGUGGCGGACGGGCGAGUAACGCGUGGGUAACCUGCCUCACACAGGGGGAUAACAGUUGGAAACGGCUGCUAAUACCGCAUAAGCGCACAGUACCGCAUGGUACGGUGUGAAAAACUCCGGUGGUGUGAGAUGGACCCGCGUCUGAUUAGCUAAUUGGCAGGGCAGCGGCCUACCAAGGCGACGAUCAGUAGCCGACCUGAGAGGGUGACCGGCCACAUUGGGACUGAGACACGGCCCAAACUCCUACGGGAGGCAGCAGUGGGGAAUAUUGCACAAUGGGGGAAACCCUGAUGCAGCGACGCCGCGUGAGCGAAGAAGUAUUUCGGUAUGUAAAGCUCUAUCAGCAGGGAAGAAGAAAUGACGGUACCUGACUAGGAAGCGCCGGCUAAAUACGUGCCAGCAGCCGCCGUAA